This is a small nucleolar RNA of Tupaia belangeri (northern tree shrew), 86 nucleotides long. The record is from Ensembl. Lineage: Eukaryota; Metazoa; Chordata; Mammalia; Scandentia; Tupaiidae.
UGUAGCUAUCAAUUUUUUUUUGCCCCUCCUGACCUACACAGGACUCUGCUAUGGGAGUGAUGGCCAGUCCUGGUGUCUGAGUGAUU